GAUGAACGCUGGCGGCGUGCCUAAUACAUGCAAGUCGAGCGAACAGACGAGGAGCUUGCUCCUCUGACGUUAGCGGCGGACGGGUGAGUAACACGUGGAUAACCUACCUAUAAGACUGGGAUAACUUCGGGAAACCGGAGCUAAUACCGGAUAAUAUAUUGAACCGCAUGGUUCAAUAGUGAAAGACGGUUUUGCUGUCACUUAUAGAUGGAUCCGCGCCGCAUUAGCUAGUUGGUAAGGUAACGGCUUACCAAGGCAACGAUGCGUAGCCGACCGGAGAGGGUGAUCGGCCCCCCUGGAACUGAGACACGGUCCAGACUCCUACGGGAGGCAGCAGUAGGGAAUCUUCCGCAAUGGGCGAAAGCCUGACGGGGCAACGCCGCGUGAGUGAUGAAGGUCUUCGGAUCGUAAAACUCUGUUAUUAGGGAAGAACAAAUGUGUAAGUAAAUAUGCACGUCUUGACGGUACCUAAUCAGAAAGCCACGGCUAACUCCGUG
This 497-nucleotide ribosomal RNA is filed under the name uncultured bacterium. RNAcentral's name for it is "partial 16S ribosomal RNA". It matches the Rfam family "Bacterial small subunit ribosomal RNA", at positions 28 to 507 of the family's 1533-position model. The record is from RNAcentral.